GAGGCCGCGCGGAGCCGCGUAGGGAUACGCCGGCGGGAGCACGCGGUGCCGCAGCCCUUCCCUGCGCCCCCGCCACCCCCUCCACCCCGCCGGCUCCGCUCCACCGAAAUUCCCCUCCUAGGGCCAAUAGCUCACAUUUCCGGCUUCCUCCUCAUUGUACUGGGUCAUUUUCGUUUAAGCGUCAAUAUUUGUCCUUAGUGAUUAAAGUUUGUAUCCAAUUUUAUUUUUGAAAGCGGGGGUGGUGGUGGUAGUGGGAAGAGUGGGAGUGCAGGGAGAGGAUGCGAGAGGGCAGGAAAUGGAGGAGGUAGAGGCGAGGCACUACUUUUCCGAGUCGGCCUUGCAGGCCAGUGUCUGGCAUUUCUGAGCCAGCAGGAAAAUUGUGCCCUUUGUAGGUAAUAGUCUAGCGCAGCUUUGGAUAAGGGGGGAGAUAAGGCCCACCGCUGGCGUGUGUGCGGGGGUGUCCUUUACUUCGGGGGAGGAGGGUGUGGGAGAGCUUUGGGAGCGAUGAGAUGAGGAGGAGGAAGUGGGCAGAGGAGCGCGGGGCCAAACAGGGGUUACUUACUCGAUUCCUGAGGCCUGGGCGGCGGCGAGCUCCGGGCUCCGGCACCGCGGGGAAACCGGGACUGGGGCUCCGGGUGCUGCUGCGGCGGCCGGGGCCGCUCAGUAGUGGGCGCCUCUGAUGGCCUUCCGAAAUGAGAGGUGCCCAGAGAGAAAACAGUACCAAACAAUCUCGAAAUAAAUCAGAUGCACAGAGAAUUUCUGACCUUGUGACGUUUGGGAGUGAGGAGAUCCCAUACAGAGGCAUCCAGGUAUUUCCAGAGAUCCUGUGGCAGGUGAGGUCUGCCCUCGCUGGAGCCAACUCGUCUAUAAUAUCUUCCUAACAGCAGAUACCAUAGAGGAGAGGUCGAGGUCCUUCCACUGAAGCACCAAGUGGGGUAUAUAAAGCCACACUGCCCAUGAGGGCUGUGGUGUGAGUCUGCUAGCCGUGAGAGACAGAUGCAUUACAAAGGGAUGGAUUUAGUGCACUCUUUCCUCUCUUACUCACAGCCUGAACAGCCAGUGAACAAUGAAACAAAACUUCUUCCCAAGCCUCAAUGAGGAUUGUGCCAUAGUUUGAAGAGUUGUAAAUAUAGCUUAUCUGAACUCUAGAAGUCAUAUUGUUCAGUGUUCCUGAAAGUAAUGAAAAAAGUUAUCUAGAAUAUGUACAUAUCAGUUAGAAUGUUUGUGAAGCAAGUGAUUGAAAAUUUAUUAUCUUCCAGAGAUGGCAUCAAGGUGAGUUGAUUCAGCAGCUUAACCUUGUCAUCGAGCAUUCCAGUUCUUUCAGCCUCUCUACUCUGCUGUCUGCAACAACAGUUUAUACAAAGGCUGGUUUCUUUCUCAUGUGAGAUGGCUUUGUGUUUGCCCAGUGUGUGUGUGUGUGUGUGUGUGUGUGUGUGUGUGUGUGUGUGUGGCAGAGGGGCUUCUCAUGUGUAUAGGUGAAGUAAGUUGGAGUUAUUUAGGAAAGGGAAGAGCAAAAAGAAAGAAAGAAUACUGGGUAAUCAUCAAUGCCCAACACAGGAAAGAGUGUAAGUAAAUGAAACCUCUGUUUUUUAAUGAUAAAUUUUGCAUGUAGCAUGUUCUAGUAAAGUUUGGCUCCACUGAACUUGUAUUACUUUGUAAAAUAUUCAAAGUCAUAUUGAAAAAAAUUCAAAUGUUCUCUAUUUAUUACUUCCCUUUUGGAAUUCAGUUAUGACUCCUUAACAUAGAGGCUCUAAAUUCUUAAUUAUAUAGCUGUGAAAUAGACUUUUAAGUGGAUUGUAAUUUUAUACAUUUGUGAGCUUUUAUUGCAUUCAUUUCUUAUGGCAGAGAUUGCUCCUUAUUCUCACAAUCUUUAUUUGGGCCAUGGCUGUUCUGCAUAUAGACUACUUGGCAGCCUCCCUUAGAACUAGGUGUAGCCAUAUGAUCAAGGUCUGUUCAUGGGAAUAUAAAUGAAAGUAAUGUGUACAACUUCCAGCCAAUGCUUUCAAAGGAAAGGUGUGACACUUUAGGGCUGGUAGAAAGAAACAACAAUAAGGAGCCUAGAUACCUGGUAAGUUUUAAACAGAAGACCUAGUGUAUCAGCCUACAUAAUUAUGUCUAUCUUGUAUAAGCCAUUUUAAAUUUAGGCUGAACUUAUAUCCUAAUGCAGUAGAUAACCAAUAUCAAUACAUUGUCUAGAAAUAAAACAUAAUUUUCUGUUGUUUUUUGAUUUUCUUUUAGAUGAAGUCUUGCUCUGUUGCCCAGUCUGGAGUGCAGUGGUACGAUCAUAACUCACUGAAGUCUCAAACUUCUGGGCUCAACCAAUCCUCCCGCUUAACCUCCCAAGUAGCUGGGACGACAGGUGCAUGCCACUACGCAUUGCUAUUAAAAAAAAAAUUGUAGAGAUGGGGUCUUACUAUGUUGCCCAGGCUAGUCUUGAACUCCUGGCCUCAAGCAAUUUUUCCAUCUUGGCCUCUGAAACGCUGGGAUUACAGGUGUGAGACACCACAAGGCCUGAUUUUUUUUUUUUUUUUUUUUUUUUUUACUGGAAAUUGGAUUACAAUCCUUCUGAGUACAAUAUAAAAUACAUUGCUUGUUGUUGAAUAAUUUUAGGAAUGGAGUAGCAUCAUAUGGAGCUUCCAACAUUCUUAUUUUGAUUUUGUAGUUUUUUAAUAAACACAGAAGACUUAACUGUUUUGAAUGAAUUUACCCAUUGCAAGCAAUUAACAUCCAAUCACUUUACUUAAAAUAAUCAAACCAUUUGUGUAUAUAUAUACAGGAUAUAUUUCUACUGUUUACUGUCUCAAAGCAUUUUAACAAGCUAUUGUGCUGGCAGAGUUAAUUAGAUCUGAAAACUGGUAUAAUAAAAACAAUAAAAAACUGUAAGAAUGCAUUAAAAUAGAACACCAAAAUAAUAGAACCUAAGGUUUCUAAAGUUGUAUUUGACAAGUCAAAUGUUCCUUAAUAACUGGAUGCAUCAGAAUACAUUGUUCAUUAUAAUAUUAAAGGCAUGUAAUGAAAUGAAAAUUGAAGCAAUAGAGAAUUCAGUAUGCACAAUUAUUUUAAAUUUAAAAUCUUACCCAUAAUGAACAUAGCUAAAAACAUAAAAGACAAAUGAUAGAGAAAUUAAAAGCAAUUAUCAAAGGAAUUCUCAGCAGAAAUUUCUGAUUUAAAUUAAAGCCUAUGAUUAAAAAUCUCCUGCCUCUUUGUCCCUCUCGCCUCUUCCCACAAUUCCUUACUGCCUCAGCACCUUGUAACUUACAUUUCUUUUCUUUAAAGACAAUCAUACUAUGCUUGAUCUAUGUGGCAGGAAUGAACAUAUCAACUUCACUUUUCAUCAACUUCACAUCUUUCUGGAUCCUGUCUCUGUAAGCCCUAAUGCUUAACUUGUGAAAGAACAAAGAUGGAAAUACUAUUGAGUAAGGUCCAUGAAAAGUGGAAUUAUUUUUCACCUACAUAAAUGUUAAUUUUGUAAAUAAAAAAGAAGACCAUUUCAGAUUUUUUUAAAAUUGAGGCUUGAAAUGGAGUACAGUGUAUUUUGGUGGCCAGGCCUGGAUUGUGAUUAUCUAGGUACCCUAAGUAGCAAAAAGAUUAUGGUCCCUCAUCCCCAGAUAAUAAAUGUGAUGCAUUUAUUUAUUCAAUCAAAAUCUGUUUUUGAAUAUUUGCUCAGGCACUCUUCUAGGCACUGAAGACACAAUAGUUAACAAAAUGACUUUUCUUAUUAUUUUCACAUUCCAAUUAUUUAAAUCAGUACUAAUGAUAAAAGAAACAUGUGGCAAUUCAAAAAAAAAGUCGCAUUUCAGUUGAUAAAUCCUUUUUGCUUUUUUGGGAAAUAUCAAAUUAUUUUAAAAAAUUUCUGCUCUUCUUUUUGCUUCUACAUUGUGCAUGUACUUAAAUUUCAUAUUGGCUAUUAAACACUGACACCACUUCUUUUCCAAGUAUUUUUUGUUCAUUUUUCAGAUGCCACUGGUAAUUAGUUAUUUUUCUUUUAUAGUAAAAAAGCUAGUAUAUUUGUUUACCCUUUUUGAAGAAAUUGUAACUUCAUAAGCUCUAAACUGAACAACUUGAACAAAAAACUAGGGAAACUUGAUGUGGUUUUAAAAGUUAAAACCAUUAAUUGUGUUUUACUGGAGGAUGCUGCCAAUUAAUUUUGUCUGAGAUUCUUUAUUCUUAUGUUUAUAUAAUACAGUGCGUACUUUAGAGGGACAUAUCCCAGAUUUUUUUCAAUGUAAUAUCUGAUACAUACAAAAGAAUAUAUGUAAUAUAUGGUCAAAUUAUUAACCAUAACAACAAAACAAACAACAAGAAUGCAGCAUAUUAGCCUAAACACUACAUCAUUAACAAUAUUUUUAUUUGAAUUAUUUAAAGAAAAAAUAACCUUUUUUGUCGGAGACAUUUUUCCAGGUUAUACGACCCACCCCCAAAUUUUUUUUUCUUUCUUUCUUUUCUUUUUCUUUCUUUUCUUUUCUUUUCUUUUUUUUUUUUUUUUCUGAGACAGGAUCUCACUCUGUUGCCCAGGCUGGAGUGCACUUGCAUGAUCGUAUCUCACUGCAACUUUGACCUCCCUGGCUCAAAUGAUCAUCCCACCUCAGCCUCCCAAGUAGCUGGGACUACAGUAGGGUGCACUAUGCCUGGCUAAUGUUUUAAAAUUUUUGCAAAAUUUCUGGCUGUGUUGCCUCCUUAUAUUUUAUCUGAUGUCUAUACAAUAUUAGACUAGGCUAGAGUGUUGCCUUAAGGAAUAUUUCAUUUUCUACUUUUUAAAAUGCUAAAAGUAAGAUUUAUUCUGAAAUAAGUCUGAGUGUAUAGAAAAGUUGCAAGACCAGUAUAAGUGACGUUUUAUCUAAACCACUUAAAGUGAAUUAUCAAUGCUAUGCCCCAUCAUUCCCAAAUACUUCAUUCUGUAAUCCUUACAAAGACAUUCUUCUACCAACACAGUAAUGAAAAAAUUUUAAAAAACCAUUGAAACAUUACUAUCAUCUAAUUUGUAGUUCCAAUUUUUUUUGCCAAUGUCAGUGACAAAAAGUUCAAUGACAGAUUGUAUAUUUCAUUUAACUGUCACUUUAAAAAAUUAAAUAGUUUUGUUUUUAGAGUAGUUUUAGCUUCACAGCAAAAUUGAACAUAAUGUACAGAAUUCUCAAGUACCUUCAUCCUCCCCCGAUAAUCUCCUGUGCUACAACUGUUGAGAUCCUGCAACACAGUGAUGCGUUUGUUAUAAUCGAUAAACCUGCACUGAUACUCAAAGUCCGUAGUUCAUCUUAAAGUUCACUCUUGGUACUGUGAAAUCUACGAUAUUUGACAAAUGUAUAAUGACAUGUGUCCCCCUUUGUAGUAUACAGAAUAGCUUCACCACCCACAAAAAUCUGUUCUCCAUCUAUUCCUCCUCCCCUCCCACCUAACCUCUGGCACCCACUGAUCUUUUUACUGUCUCCACAGUUUUGGCUUGUCCAGAAUGUUACUUAGUUUGAAUUACAUAGUAAGUAGCCAUUUCAUAAUGGCUUUUUUCCCCCUUAGUAAUAUGUAUUUAAGUAUCCUCCAUGUCUUUUCAUGGUUUGAUAGCUCAUUUCUUUUUAGUGUUGAAUAAUAUUCCAUUGUCUGCAUGCACUCUAGUUUAUAUAUUGAUUCACUCGCUAAAGGACAUCUUGAUUGCCUCCUAGUUUUGUCAAUUAUGAAUGAAGUGGCUGUAAUCUGUGUUCAAGAUUUUGUGUAUACAUGCAUUUCCAACUCAUUUGGAUAGACACAAAGGAGUGCACUUGCUGAAUCAUAUGGUAAGAGUAUGUUUAAUUUUGUGAGAAAUUGCCAAGCUGUCUUACAAAGUGGCUGCAUGAUUUCACAUUCCCACCAGCAACAAAUGAGAAUUCCUGUAGCGCUUUGUUCUCACCAACAUUUGUGUUGUUGGUAUUUUGGAUUUUCACCAUUCCAAUAGAUGUGUAGUGGUAUCUCAGUGGUGUUUUAAUUUGCAAUUCCCUAAUAAUGUAUCAUUUCAUAUGAUUAUUUUCCAUCUAUAUCUUCUUUGUUGAGGUGUCUGUUCAGGUCUUUUGCCCAUUUUUUAAAAUUAGGUUUUUUGCUUUCUUACUAUUGAGCUUUGGGUAACCGUCCUUUACCAAAUAAGUCUUCUGCAAAUAUUUUCUCCCAGUCUGUGGCUUGUCAUCUCACUCUGCUGACUUUGUCUUCUGCACAACAGAUUCUUUUAAUUUUAAUGAGGUGCAGUUUAUUUAUUAUUUUCUUCAUAAAAUCACACUUUUGAUUUUGUAUCUAAAAAAUCAUCACCACCCCCAAAGUCAUCUGGAUUUUCUUCUGUAUUUUCUUCUAGGGUUUUAUAGUUUUGCAUUUUACAGUUUAGGUCUGUGAUCCAUUUGGAAUUAAUUUUUGUAAAGAGUAUAAUGUCUGUGUUUAGAUUUAUUUGUUUUUAACAUGUGAAUGUCCAGUUUGUGCCCAUACCAUUUGUUUUAAACCUAUAUUUUUUUUAUUGUAUUACCUUUGCCUCUUUGUCAAAGAUCAGUUGACUGUAUUUGUAUGGGCCUAUUUCUGGGCUUUCUAUUCUAUUCUCUUGGUCUGUUUGUCUCUUUUUUUUUUCUAAUACCAUACUGUCUGGAUCACAAUAACUGUACAGUAAGUCUGGAAGUUAGGUAGUGUUAAUCCUCCAGUUUUGUUUCUUUUUUUCUAUAUUGUGUUGGCUCUUCUGGAGCCUUUGUUUCUCCAUAUAAACCUUAGAAUCACUUUGUUGAUAUUCACGAAAUACCUUUCUGGGAUUUCAAUUAAAACUGCAUUUAAUGUACAGAUAAUUUUGAGAACUGGCAUCUUGACAAUAUUGAUGCUUCUAUUCAUAAACAUGCAACAUCUCUCCAUUUAUUUAGUUCUCCUUUGAUUUCUUUCAUCAGAGAUUUAUAGUUUCCCUUUAUAUAGAUGUUGUACAAACUUUGUUGGAUUUACCAAAGAAUUUCAUUUUUUGGUGCUAAUAUAAAUGAUAUUGCAAUUCUAAUUUCCAAUUCCAUUUGUUCAUUGCUGGUAUCAUAUGUUAUUUUUUAAUCUUCUUCAAACUCAGUCUCUCAGUCUUCCCUAGACUUUCAUAACUUCUACAUUUUGAAAAUUUUAUGUCAAUUAUUUAAUAGAAUAUCUCUAAAUUUAGGUUUGUCUCAUUUUUCAAUGUAAUUGGAUUCAGGUUACGCAUUUUUGAUAGAUUAGAGUGGUGCUGUGUUAUUCUUAUUGCACAGGUCUGUUGGGUUGAGUGGGGUGAGUUAAAUCAUUCCUUUUUGGCCUCUCAUAAUACUGAAUCAAGUGAAAGUUGGCCUGAGUCAUCAGAAGACUUGUCUCGGCUGAAUGUACAAGGUGCUCACUGACAUAUACAGAUCCAAAGUUGAGUCGGACUGGUCUGACUGUUGGCUGAAAGCUCACCUGGGGCUGCCAGAGGUCUUCAACCAUAGCGUCUCCACGUAACUUAAGCUUCUUAUAUCAUGUGCCUAAAUUCUGAGACAGAGGAAUAGAGAAGAGAGAAAGGAAGAGCAAGAGAGAGAAGGGGAGUUCCGAGUGUCCAUUCCAAGAAACUGAGGUGGAAACUGCAAGGCUUCUUAUACCAGAGCAUUACUUUUUGUACCAGAACAUUACUUCCAGUGUAUUCUAUCUGUAAAGCAAGUUAUAUUUAGUUCACAUCUUGAUGUGAGAAAUAGCAUUGUGUACAGGGAAAAAGAACUUGAUAGCUAUUUUUGUAGACUAUCUGAUAAAGAUGUUUCUGGGCUGAGUUAAUAAUGCUAUGUUGGCUAUUUAUUUCUGAUUUUCUAGUUCUGUCAUUUCUUCUACAUUUAUUAGUUAGUCUUUGUGUCAGUUGGGGUUCCCUAGGGAAACAGAACCAAUAGGAUAUAUCUAUAUCUUUACCUAUGUCCCAUACAGAUACACACACACACACACACACACACACACACAUCCAAUCCACACACACAUGUACAUUCAAUCUGUUGAUAGCCUGACUAGAACAAUAGGCAAAGGCAAGGGGAAAUUCGUAUCUCUACCUGACUGCUUCAGCUGAAAUAUCAAUCAGUCUCUUCCUGCCCUACACUGGGACCAACAUCAUGAGCCCUCUGGUUCCCAGAACUGUAACACUAGCUUUCCUCUUUCCGGGGUCUCCAGCUUUCAGACAGUAGAAUCAUGAGACUUCUCAGCCUCCUUAACCAUGUGAGCCAAUGCCUUAUAACAAAUAUCCUACAAACAUAUAUAUAUAAAUGUAUACAUACAAAUAUAAUAAUAUCAUACAAAUAUAUAUAUUUAUAUGUAUA
RNAcentral lists this long non-coding RNA (8264 nucleotides) under Homo sapiens (human). RNAcentral's name for it is "non-protein coding FOXG1-AS1:7". The record is from RNAcentral. Lineage: Eukaryota; Metazoa; Chordata; Mammalia; Primates; Hominidae.